Long non-coding RNA from Chelonia mydas (Green sea turtle), 807 nucleotides. RefSeq lists it as uncharacterized. The transcript has 3 exons. NCBI's taxonomy places the organism in Eukaryota, Metazoa, Chordata, Testudines, Cheloniidae. The record is from RefSeq and is a predicted model, not a curated record.
UCGUGUCUUCACUAGACGUGAUGAAUCGACCCCCGCUGGAUCAAUCGCUCCGGAGUUUUGCCAACAUUGUUCUUGAAUUGUGAACACCAGAAAAGGACACUGUAGUGAGGAGGAGUGGCCCCCUCAGAUGCAGACGCGGAGGGAACGCUACAAGCUGCCUGGUGGGAGGAGUCAGGAGGGCCACGCCCUGCACGCCGGAAGCAAAGGGGCAGGACAGGAAGGGGAAUUAUAAAAGGCCAGCCCAGCUGCACAGUUGGGAAGAAGCUGCUGGAGGCAAUAGAUGCUUCUUCCUCACUGCUGGAGGUGAGCACCAAGGAGAACUGCUGUUGCCCCAGGGACCAGCAGGAGCUUCCAGGGAGCCCUGUUGCUCUCAAGGCAGAGGAGCUGCUACCACUACCCUUGACCGUGUACCCAGAGGAGGUUGAGGAUGACCCCUGGAUCCAGCUUUAUCCGAGGGCCUCAAGAUGGGGACCGGCUCCAGAUUCCAUUCAGGUGGACCAGCAGGUGAAGAGUGGACCUCAGGAUACAGGCAGGUGUUGGCUCUGUUCAAUGUUGAUGCCUCUUCUGUUCUUCCCCUGCGACAUCAUGGGCAUAAGUAAAAUCCCGAACAAGGAUGGCAGUUGGCAGCUCACCCUCGCGUGCAAGUAUGAUAAACCCUCCCACAACCCUACAGCACGAUGCUCAGGCCUGCACACCUGAGGUAAACACAGCACUGUGAUAUUCCCCUUUCGAGGUAGAUAGCAGCACUACCAGCACUCUGCCACUCAGAUGGGCAGCCCUGUGUUGCUGACGUGCUAGCCCCAUAUA